ACGAAGGGGGCGAGCGUUGUUCGGAAUUACUGGGCGUAAAGCGUACGUAGGCGGCAAAGCAAGUUAGAAGUGAAAGCCCAGGGCUCAACCUUGGAAUUGCUUUUAAAACUGCUUAGCUAGAAUCUCGGAGAGGAUAGCGGAAUUUCCAGUGUAGAGGUGAAAUUCGUAGAUAUUGGAAGGAACACCAGUGGCGAAGGCGGCUAUCUGGACGAGUAUUGACGCUGAGGUACGAAAGCGUGGGGAGCAAACAGG
Molecule: ribosomal RNA, 252 nt
Filed under: uncultured bacterium
Lineage: Bacteria
Description: partial 16S ribosomal RNA
Rfam family: Bacterial small subunit ribosomal RNA
Source: RNAcentral